Molecule: long non-coding RNA, 1522 nt
Filed under: Capra hircus (goat)
Lineage: Eukaryota; Metazoa; Chordata; Mammalia; Artiodactyla; Bovidae
Description: lncRNA (ENSCHIG00010024096.1)
Source: RNAcentral
GAAUCUCCCAAGCAGAAUGUUAAAUUCAAGAAGCAUAACACAGGAAACAUUUGCACAUAAUCUGAUUUUAUUACAUGAAGUUCACAAAACAGGCAAAACUAAAUUACAUUUAGAUAUGCAUACCUAAACAUGGUUGGUAAUACCUAAAAAAUUCCCAAGGAAAAGACUAUAACAAAAGUCAAGAUAGCAGUUAUCUCCAUGAGGACGGGAGAAGGAUGGGGUUUUUAAGGGAAAACGAGUGAUCUCUAAAAUAAUAACAAUACUCUUAAACUGCUUAGUUGUUACACUCAUGUAUAGACUCUAGAUAUUUUAGACAAUUAUUCAUAUGGAUUUUAUAUUUCAUAAUCAUUUAAUAAGUAAAUACAUAUUGUGUCAGCUUUGAAUUAAAAAACUGAAAUCCUCAGAUUAAGUAGAUUAAUUUUUUUCUUUGAGUUAUUUGCAAAUUCAAUAUUAAAGUUUAUUAAGCCCUUUUGCAUUCUANNNNNNNNNNNNNNNNNNNNNNNNNNNNNNNNNNUAUAUUUUGGUACAUAUACAUGCAUUCCUAUACAAAAAACAAAUUUUUCCUUGUUGCUUACAAAGACCUUCCAUUUUUUUAAUAUGUGAUUUUUACUGUAGCCCUUUAUUGAUGAUACUGUAUCAAUUUCAAAAAGCUACCAUCCAGAGAUUUUAAAUAGUAUGUCUGCAAACAGCAGACAUGUUAAAAGAUAAUUAAAACCCAUACUUUUGAAAUUAAAUUCAUUAAUCAUUUUACCACAGUUAAGUAAAACCAAAAGUUUCCAUAGAUAAUUGACCACAUCUUUGCAAUUAAAUCUUCUAAUAUAUAAAAACAAACCCCUUGCACAACUUAUGUCUUUCUCUGUUCACAUUUAUUAGUCAGGUUUGUUCAAUAAAUAUACCCUUGAUUUGUUUGCCAGAGAUCUAAUAAAAUUGUGUCAGAUUGUUACAGUCACAUCUCAUGGUGACUCAGAUCUCCCCAUCUCUACGACUUCGCAUAUUUGACUUUGGGCUAUUGGCUUUGGGCUUGGCCUUUGCCUUCUCUUGUCAGUGUGGCAUCAGCAAAUAUGAUGCAAGUAGAAGCUUAUAGAAGUGCCUGUGCACUUGCCUUGCAUUGAAUCAGAUCUGAAAACAACCUUUGAAGAAGUUCAGUCUAGACCGAUAGAGCAGAAGAAACCACAGAGAGCAGAGAGGAACCAGGCCAGAUGAUGUGUUUUGGACCUGACAGCCUCCAGACCGAAAAAAUCACCACAUGAGGAAGUGGGGCCACCCCAGGAUACUCAGACCUAGCUGAUCUGGUAGAAAACUGAAAACCACAUUAAUGAAUAGGCAUACUGGAAGAAUCAGACAGCUGAGCCCAGCUCAUAAUGCUCAUUCAUUCACAGAAUCAUUAAUAAGCAAACACCAAAUCUUUCUUUAAGCCUCUAAAUUUUGGGAAGGUUUUUUAUGUACCACAUGUAAUUGAUAUAAGUAUUUUUUCAUCAGGAAUAUAAAUUGGACAGGUAUUUAUUAGUGAUAUAAAUAAUCA